This is a non-coding RNA of Zonotrichia albicollis (white-throated sparrow), 1260 nucleotides long. The record is from RefSeq and is a predicted model, not a curated record. NCBI's taxonomy places the organism in Eukaryota, Metazoa, Chordata, Aves, Passeriformes, Passerellidae.
GCUGGUGCUAUCACAACCAAGAGUCAAAUCCAUUCCAGAAAACACAAAGAAAAGCAGACACUGUGGCUGUGACUCUCCACCUUAACAAGCCUGAUCUGCACCAGAUCUCCAGAGCAUCACGUCAAAAUUGUGCAUCACACCACACAAGCUUCUCUUGAGCUCCUCAAGGCAUUCCUUGAUGCUGAAACGAAAAGCCACAGAAGGUUUGGUUUGCUUGAUUUACUAAGCAGCUCUGCAGGAACUAAAGCUACUCUGAAGAUGAAGAUUGCUCAGUAUGAUCAUCUUUUUCCCAAUGCAAAGUUUUUGUGGAACAGAUUCCUACCCUGAGCCUCUGCUGAAAGAUGUGUAACAGCUGCUGAAGAGGUCCCUGCACCUUUAGGUUUUGAGAAACACAUGUAUUUUCAUAGAAUCAUAGAAUCACAGGAUACUUUGUAUUGGAAAGGAUCUUUAAAGAUCAUCUGGAUUCAAGACACCUGCCAUGACUGACGGACCCCCCACUAGAACAGGUUGAUCAAUAAUUGGGUUUUUUUUGCAGUGAAAUAAAUUAGACCCACAUAUAUAAUGGCCCUGCCUAGCAGGGAAUCAGCUCCUGUAGGGAGGACUUACUCUUCAGCUCUUCCACCAAGCACAGGAUCCUCCCCAAGGCAAGAUAUCUGCAGCAGAGCUGCCUGUGGGCUGCCAACCCUCAGGAUGUGCCAGACACGAGCUAGAUAAGAAAUCUUUGGAAUGGUCCAAAACAGUUUCAGAGUGCUCAAUAUCUAGUAAAUAAUCAUAGACCAGUGCUGGCCCAUACUUUAUCCCAAAUUCAUUGCACUAAACACAGCCUAUAUACCAUCCAUAUCAAUGCAACAAAAUAAUUUGCUGUCUGGUUUAGAUAAUAAACUUCCCCUCCACCUAAUGCUGAUGUGCAGAUUUGCUUUACUUCCUACAGGAAAUUCUUCCAAUGCAGGAUGUUUUGAGGACUGAGUGACUAGAAGUAACAAGGCUGUGGUGAAGCACAGCAGUUUAGUUAGGAGUGAGGAGAUUAUGACUGACAAGCAAAGGAAGGAAGAAAACGGAACACUGCCUGAGAGGAAGGGUUGAGAUGAGUGUGAAAAAAAAGUAAAAGGUCAAAGCAAGAAAAUGAAUAAAAUGAAAAAGGAAAUAAAGAGAAUCAGAAAAGAAUAAAAAACACAGGAGAGACAGCAUCUGAGGGGAAUAUGUUGUAAAUAAAACAAGUCUUGAAGUGCAGCAGGACUAAAAUAAUGUAUUCAAAAGACC